RNAcentral lists this ribosomal RNA (155 nucleotides) under uncultured bacterium. RNAcentral describes it as "partial 16S rRNA". It matches the Rfam family "Bacterial small subunit ribosomal RNA", at positions 355 to 507 of the family's 1533-position model. The record is from RNAcentral.
UGAGGAAUAUUGGUCAAUGGGCGCAAGCCUGAACCAGCCAUGCCGCGUGCAGGAUGACGGUCNUAUGGAUUGUAAACUGCUUUUGCACAGGAAGAAACACUCCGACGUGUCGGAGCUUGACGGUACUGUGAGAAUAAGGAUCGGCUAACUCCGUG